CUAUUAUUCCCAUUCUACACCUGUGACCGUUUGAUUGAAUCUUCUGAUUCAAUUUUACAAACAUUGUGUAAUGAACGUCAUUAGAUCAUAACAAAAAAAAACUUUUAACAACGGAUCUCUUGGCUCUCGCAUCGAUGAAGAACGCAGCGAAAUGCGAUAAGUAAUGUGAAUUGCAGAAUUCAGUGAAUCAUCGAAUCUUUGAACGCAACUUGCGCUCUCUGGUAUUCCGGAGAGCAUGCCUGUUUGAGUGUCAUGAAAUCUCAACCAUUAGGGUUUCUUAAUGGCUUGGAUUUGGAGGUUGCCAUUCUGAAUGGCUCCUCUUAAAGGAGUUAGCAAGUUUAACUAUUGCUAUCUGGCGUAAUAAGUUUCGCUGGAAUGGUAUUGUGAAGCGUGCUUCUAAUCGUCUUCGGACAAUUACUUUGACUCUGGCCUCAAAUCAGGUAGGACUACCCGCUGAACUUAAGCAUAUCAAUAAGCGGAGGAAAAGAAACUAACAAGGAUUCCCCUAGUAACGGCGAGUGAACCGGGAAGAGCUCAAAUUUGUAAUCUGGCUGUCUUCGAUAGUCCGAGUUGUAAUCUAUAGAAGCGUUUUCCGUGCUGAACUGUGUAUAAGUCCCUUGGAACAGGGUAUCAAAGAGGGUGACAAUCCCGUACUUUACACAAUCAUCAGUGCUCUGUGAUACGUUCUCUACGAGUCGAGUUGUUUGGGAAUGCAGCUCAAAAUGGGUGGUAAAUUCCAUCUA
Molecule: ribosomal RNA, 743 nt
Filed under: Apiotrichum dulcitum
Lineage: Eukaryota; Fungi; Basidiomycota; Tremellomycetes; Trichosporonales; Trichosporonaceae
Description: eukaryotic LSU rRNA
Rfam family: Eukaryotic large subunit ribosomal RNA (bases 427-743)
Source: RNAcentral